CUGCAGGCGGCGGCGGCGGAAGGUGGGAGCAGCGAUUCCGACAGGACGAGCUCUGGGGGGAUCAUAUGCCAUUCAAGGACUUGGAGACCAGAGGUGACAUGAUCUGUUCUAUUUAUAAGAUCUGACUGAAGUGGGACUGCAAGCAGAAGCAGGAGAUCAGUGAGGAUUUAUUGGUGUCAGUGCAACAAUUUAAAACAUAAAUGAUGAAAAACAUAGUCACAGUGUGCUCUUCCCAUGCACUGAAGACCACUUCUAUGGGAGGCAAGAAGAAAAAAAGUCAUGAAGGUUAUUUGUAAGUUCCAAGUUCUCCUUGUAUGCUACAUUCUAAAGUUAAUAUAAAAUCCCUCGGAUUGUCUGUAUCAGUUCUCACUUGUCGAAUGUUUCCUUCGAGUAUUCCUAGUUGAGAAUUAAAAGCACGUUAUUAAAGCCACCAGGGUAACCAGGUAAGACCUUUGAAAGGUAAGGAGUCUCCUAGGAUCUUGGUCACCUGUUUGAUGAAUUACUUUGGUUUACCUGAACUCAUGACCACAUAAGGCCCUUUGAAAUUGACUAAAGGCUGAUGUCUUACAAGAAAAUAAUACUUCCAAUCCAGCUCUUGCACCCAUGUGGGAGACUUGGAAGAAGCUCCUGACUUCCAGUUGGUUCAGCUCCACCCAUUGUGGCCA
This is a long non-coding RNA of Ochotona princeps (American pika), 665 nucleotides long. RefSeq lists it as uncharacterized. The transcript is spliced from 3 exons. NCBI's taxonomy places the organism in Eukaryota, Metazoa, Chordata, Mammalia, Lagomorpha, Ochotonidae. The record is from RefSeq and is a predicted model, not a curated record.